UUAGGAAUUUUGGGCAAUGGGCGGAAGCCUGACCCAGCAACGCCGCGUGGGUGAUGAAGGCCCUCGGGUCGUAAAGCCCUUUUCCCAGGGACGAUGGUGACGGUACCUGGGGAAUCAGCCCCGGCUAACUACGUGCCAGCAGCCGCGGUAAUACGUAGGGGGCAAGCGUUGUCCGGAUUUAUUGGGCGUAAAGCGCUCGCAGGUGGCCCGUCGCGUCGUGCGUGAAAGACCCCGGCUCAACCGGGGGGCGUCGUGCGAUACGGGCGGGCUGGAGGCCAGUAGGGGGAUGCGGAAUUCCGGGUGUAGUGGUGGAAUGCGUAGAGAUCCGGAGGAACACCAGCGGCGAAGGCGGCAUCCUGGACUGGUCCUGACACUCAUGAGCGAAAGCGUGGGGAGCGAUCCGGAUUAGAUACCCGGGUAGUCCACGCUGUAAACGAUGCGCACUAGGUGUCGGGGGUAUCGACCCCCUCGGUGCCGCAGCUAACGCGAUAAGUGCGCCGCCUGGGGACUACGGCCGCAAGGCUAAAACUCAAAGGAAUUGAC
Molecule: ribosomal RNA, 543 nt
Filed under: uncultured bacterium
Lineage: Bacteria
Description: bacterial SSU rRNA
Rfam family: Bacterial small subunit ribosomal RNA
Source: RNAcentral